CAGGAAUUACUAAAACUAAAAUUACUAUCUUUGGGAAGCAUAACACCAAAGUCUAGGUAAGAGAAAGGCAUGAUAUAAAGUUGAGCCGUUGUUUAUCUUGUUCCUACUACACCAAGUUCUAGAGAUUUAUUUUUGAAAACUUACAAAUCACAUGAUGAGUUCCUAGCAUAACAAAAUUACCUACCACAGCCAUAUUUGCUAUAACAUCUUUUACUAUAUUUACAUUGAGUUUGAUCGAGCUGUGUCGACCCUUAGGAGCUUUUCAUGUGGUUAAAUUAAGAUAUUCACUUGCACACAUCUACCACAGCAUUCAUCAUCAAUCAUUAAAAUUGCUAAAAAAAUAUUAUCACUCACUGUCCCGAAUGUUGUUAUUCUCUCUCUAAAAAGAUUCAAUGCAGAAGAGGCAUGGGUUAUGCAAAAAUAUACGAGGAAAUAAAAAGGGGCAAGUGCCCGGAACCUCGAAAAAGAAAAGAAAGUGAGACGAGAGGUAAAAAUGGACAAGUGUCCGAAGUAGAAUUAGGGGUACAAAGAUGCCCACUUGAGCGGAAAAAAUGGACAAGUGUCCGAAGUAGAAUUAGGGAUAUCUACUACCCACCUGAAAAAAAAAGAGAGAGAAAAAGAUAGCCCAUGUUCUCCCAAAGCAAAGAUCAAAGAAGAGAAGAGAUAGCAAUAUGAGGAGCAAUGAGAACUAAGUUUUAUUAUCACUUAUGCAUUUUCAUCAUUUACUCCAUGCACAUCUUGAUUUAAUUAUAUGCUGAGUUCCUUUGGAUCCAUGGCUCGAUUAGACAACAUAUGUAUGAGCUGUUUUUCACUCCUAUGAGCUCCACUUAAAUAUUCCAUUAGCUAUAGGUAAGUGACAUUAUGGUAAGGAUCCACAAAUACCACAUAUAGAGAGACUUGAGAGAAUCAUUGCUGGGAACUCUGAGUUUUAUUUUGAAAACCUAUGAAAAAACUCUAGAACAAAGGUGAAGUAUAGAUAGGAGGGAUAGUGCUUGACUUAACUAUUUUGUCUUUCGAUUACUUAAGAUUUAAGUGCAGGUACUAAACUCCAUAACACUUCACUUUAAUCUGGAAGAAUUUUUAUGUAGAAGCAUGUGUGCCUGUCAGGAAAGAAAACAUCGAAGCAACUCCUGAUCCAUCUGAGUUUAGCUGUUUGCUCAGGGGCGAGCAAAGGGUAAGCUUGGGGGAGUUUGUUGACGGUCCUUAAGUACUAAAAUUAAUAAUCAAAUAAACAUGAAAAAGGAUCAAUAUAAAACAAACAUCUAGAAUUAGGGUUUUAUCUGACAGAAUUCCACGAGCUUUGGUGUUUAUCUAUUUCUGCAGGGGUUUAUCAGAAAAUAUGGAGAGAAGGCCCACAUGUCAUGUUUACAACGAGAUAACGUGCCGCGCAAUUUUCCUCAAUCUAGAAGGAUCCAGAAGCCACGGGAACGAACGGGACGCGAUUCGGGCUCGGGGGCUGGGCGGCCGCCCACCCCCCUUGGGCGCCCGCCCUGGCCAGGAAGCCAACCAGGACUCUGCUUCGGGGCAAGACUCCACCGACCUAAAGGAUCAAUAUAAACCAUACAAUCUAUGUUGGUUUGAUCCAAUGGCUCACGUUCACUUGAGGGGACUAUAAAACCAGACACCCUGGCCCCUGGAGGAGAGAGGAGAAAUCAUUAUUCAGAGGUAGCCAUCAAAGUUAGGGUUUAGAUCUCUCUCCCACAGAGAAUUAGAAUUAGCUACUCCCUAAUCCUUCAAGUUUAGAGGUUGAUUAGAUAGCAAUUAGAGAAGUAGAGCACUACGCUCUGGAUUCGGAUCUUCGGUAAUAAAGAUUGGUAUUAUUCAUAUCUUUCUCUAAUUCUAUUGUUCUAAUUGCAUUAUGUCUCUAAUUAUUAUGCUCUUAGUUUGCUCUAGUUCUAUAUUUGAUAUAGUUCUAAUUGAUAAUGAGUUUAUGUAUAAGUUUGCAAAGCGCUUAGCUCUUGACGCGAGGGAGUUAGGUGAUAGAUCACAUGUGAGCGUGGUGCUUAGAUGUUAUUUAUCUGCAAAUGUAUCCUAUUGGCCGGGUCAUGUGGUAGUUCACGAUAGUGACAGCUUCGUUGAUUCUUAUAUAGUCCACCCUCCGUUGAUAGGACAGGCAGAACCGGUAUUGUGGAGUAAGUCAUGCGAUGUUCUGAUUUACUUUAUCAAUGUUCCUUAUACAUGAAUGAAGAGUCUUUUAUGCUAUACAUGAUCUUGUAGAUAACUAGAGUAGAUUAUGACUUAGUAGUUAGUAGAUAACUUAGAAUCCAUUCUCUAGCUAAUCCGACAUCACCUACUUAUAUGAGGAGUAGUCUAUUUUCUAAUCGCUGUGCUAUCUACCCAUGAACUUAUACUUUAUUAUCAUUAUCUUUAUGGUUUACCCCCUGCUAAAGUAUGUGACUCUGUGACGAGUUUCUCAUUAGUAAUCAUGUUCUUGCAAGUUUAUCUCUAGUCUAUGCCUUGAUAGAUUUUGUCCCUUGAUUUAAUUCCAUCUUCUUUAGAUCCCUAGAGCAAAAUUAUAAAUAACGAUACCUGGAAUACUUAUCCUGGUGAAAUGCUACAAUGAGGUGUUUUAUCUGUGCGCUUGCGGAUAGAAUAGAUUAUUUUCUAGAGAGCCUUUACAUUUAUAAAUACCUUUGUACACUCUGGCGCCAUGCUAGGGAUGACAACCUAGUAUCUAAGUGGUGUUAGCUAGUGUCAACAAGCAUUUCUGGCGCCGUUGCCGGGGAACUUAUAGGACUUAUAGGAAUUAUAUGAGUCUCAGGAAUAAGUCAUAUUAAGGAAAGCUAGAAAAUCAAUCAAGGUUAUUCACAUAAAACAUUAGACUAGACUAUAGAGAAAUAAUUGCAUAAAACAGCUACUAAGUGAGAAAUCAUAACAAGGCACCGCUGCUUUGGCAGGUUCACCCUGUUGUUUUUCUAUGUUUAUAUUUUUAUACAGGGUAUAACAGGAUUGACUUUGGGUACAUUCAACUCUCCAUCAUCAGAACCAAAGCAAUCAACAGAAGAAGAAGCUAGCUACCAAUUGCUGAAGCUAUGGCACAGAAGACCUUGCAAGAAUUCUCUGCUCCAAGUCUUGACAACAUUCCAACUGGUCCAAGAUUUGCAGUAGAAGAAGGAAUACCCGAGUUUGAGCUCAAGUCAAGCCUCAUCAAUUUGGUGCAAGCUACACAAUUCAGUGGAAAGGCACAUGAAGAUGCCAGUGCACACUUGCAGAAUUUCCUAGAGAUUGGAAGCACAAUCCACAUCAACGGAGUUGACAAAGACGUCAUACUACUUCACCUUUUUCCAUUCUCACUAGAAGGAAAAGCGAGGAAGUGGUUCUACACUCAUCAAGAUAACAUCAACAACUGGACGAACUUGUCAGAUGCCUUUCUAUCAAAGUUUUUCCCUAUAGGCAAAACAACUGCCUUAAGAGGAAAUAUUGUCAGUUUCCAACAACAGAAGACAGAAGCCAUUUCAGAUGCAUGGGACCAUUUUCAAGGAUACAUAUCAGAUUGUCCUCACCAUGGAAUGGCCACGUGGUUACUUAUGCAGACCUUCUACCAUAGAUUAACCCAGAAGGCUCGUGAGUGCCUAGAUGCAUCUGCUAAAGGAUCAUUCUUGGAGCUUACAACUGGAAAAGCAGAGAUACUUUUGGAUAAGAUAGCAGAAAACCAAAGCUGGUUCCAAGAUAAAGCUCAACAAUGUCAUCAAACUGAAGAAAUACCAGAAGAAGUAAAUGCAUUAUCAACUAAGAUGGAAAAUUUGCUCCAUUGGAUUGACCAGAGGGCCAAGUUCAAAGAAGAUCAAAGGGCCAUUGAGACAACAUACAAAUAUCAACCAACUUCGAGUCAACCCAAUAGCAAAGGUAUGAAUUCAAGUAAAGAAUAUAACUACUAGAGGAGGCAAAGCCACCAGAGAUCCACCAUACCCAAAAGAGAAACAAAGAACAUCAGCACCAGUGCAACCAGCAGUGAUAGAAGAAGAAAGCCCAGUUGAAGCAGAAGAUCUGCUCCAACCACCAAGAACUGGAGAAAUGAGGAAAGAUUUUUACGACACCAACUAUUUGCCAUUUCCCAGAAGAAACAGAGGACUGCAGUCGGAUGAGCAGUUUGGUAAGUUUGUAGAGGUCAUUCAGAAAUUAUAUGUCAACAUACCUCUGCUCGAUGCCAUACAGGUACCUACAUAUGCAAAGUACAUCAGAGAUAUUCUUAACAAGAAGAGACCACUGCCCACCACUGAGGUUAUCAAGCUGACAGAAGAAUGUAGUGCGGCCAUCCUCAAUAAGCCACCAAAGAAGAAGGAAGAUCCCGGAUGCCCCACUAUUGAUUGCUCAAUUGGAAACCAACACUUCAACAAUGCACUUUGUGAUCUCGGAGCAAGUGUCAGUGUGAUGUCAGCAUCAGUCUACAAAAAGCUUGAGCAUGCAACCUUAGAACCAACAUCAAUGUGUCUACAACUAGCGGAUCAAUCGGUUCGACACCCGCUGGGUAUCGCCGAGAACAUUCCAGUCAAGAUUAGAGAUUUCCUGGUGCCAGUAGACUUUGUAGUACUGGACAUGAGUCCUGACUCAAAAGUGUCCAUCAUCCUUGGAAGGCCAUUUCUGAGCACUGCCAAUGCCCACAUUGAUGUCGGGAAAGGAGAAAUCAAGUUCAACAUAAACGGUCAAGAAGAACAUUUCACAUUCAAACCCAGACCAGAGAGAGACUCUACAGUGAAGGAAGUUCAUGAAGAACCACUGGAGACACCAUCUCCGGAGGAAGGUAACUCAGAAGAUUAAAAGAUUUGGAGGUCCAGCUUGGGGGACCUAAAAAUCCCAAACCCUCACCGGGAGGUAAAUCGGUAUUUAUCCGCAUUAUUAAUUUUCUCAUAUUUAAAUUCUUGCAUAAUUAAUUCUUGCAUUAGUCAUAGCAUAAUUAUAAUAAUAAAAAAGCCCCAUAUAAAUAAUAUUCAUGGUGUGUAACAACCCAUAUUUAUUAAUUAUUACGGAGGCACAAAAAUAUUUUCCAUUAUCAUUAUCAUUAAGUUUUAAUUCUCAUAGAUUUUUCCUACAUUAUAUUUAAUCAUAUUAACCUUCUAGAAGCAUGACCCACACUCUUUGGGUCCCACAUGUCAUACACUUCACCUCACAUACAUCCCAUCACAUAAUUUCAUCCACCAAUAUGUUUCCACUCACUUGACAUCUUUCCACCGUCCAACCACCACCAACACAAUAUUAUUGUGCGUGAGAUCAAAGCAAGGAAGCAUGUGGAGGAGGCACACCCAGGAUGGACACCAGGGGUGGGCGCCCGCCCACCUACCUUGGGCGCCCGCCCUGUCCCCUGCUCAGCCUAUAAAAAGCCACCUCCAGCUUCCCUUCUCUCCACACAAGCACUCCAGAAAACCACACAAGUAUCAGUUUCCCGAGAAGGAGCUUUUGUAGUGAAGAGAAGAGAGUAGAGAGAAAGAGGAGAGUGGAAGAAAAGGUUGGGAGUUCUUUUGAGAGAGUGAUUGUCACCUAGCAAAUAGUGUCCAAGCAGAAGUAAAAGUUGUUCAGGGGGAGGCUCUACCAAAAUAGAAACUUGUCUUGAACGAUUAACCCCUGGACUACUGACAUUCCGGACAGCUGACCACUAACAUUUUCUCUCACAUUUUCCACCAGUUGUGUUUUUGCCAAUUUUUGUUUGCAGGAUGUUUAAGAAGGUGCAGAAUGCAGGGAAGGCUCUCAAGAACAUUGGAACAAGGAGUUCAUCCCGACACUCCUCACAGCCAUCAGAGAUGAGCGUCGAUCCGACACCCACACAAGCCCCAUCAUCUUCAUCAGGUCAGCAAGUUAAGGUCCUUCUCAAGAUAGGAGACCUAGGACUGAAGACCCGAAGAGAGAAGGAAGUCUAUCAGCAAUUGAAGAACAAAGAUUUCAUUCACACCCCUACUAUCGAUCCAAUCCUACUACGAGAAACAGGUAUGGACACUGAAUUUGACUUAAUUUUUUAGAUGAUGGGUUGGACAAAUUUUUGGAAUAUAACUGAGCUGGGUUCUCGUCUUCUCACCCUCGAAUUUCUUUGCACCUUACAAUACUAUGAGAGGGGAAUUGUUUUUCGGAUGUUUAAACAGGAAAUUAUGUUAUCUUGGAGAGAGCUGAGCGACCAUCUUGGUUUCUCUUCAAGAUGCAUCCUCAACAUUGACUCCGAUUUACCCAAUUUUGAGAGACACCAGUUUUGGAGAGAAAUAUCUAGAGAUAAAUUUUAUAGUCAAGCCCGAACCAGUGACAUGGAACACCCCACUCUUAGGAUGUUUCACAAAUGGCUUGGGUACAAUCUUUUCUAUCGUGACGAUAUUAGGAAAGUAAGAGUAGGAGAUUUACAACUUUUAUAUGCUGCUAUUAGUAAAGUACCUACUUCACCUGUUACAUUAUUAGUUUCACAUUGGCUUAGUAUACCUAGUCUUCAGGGACCAGUAGGAUGUACUUCACUUAUCACUCGUCUAGCCACUAAUCUUCACUUACUAGAAAAUUCAUCGUUGGACUUCAUAGAAGAAUUAAGAAUUUAUCAUGGCUACGACACAUUUAGACAAGCUCGGAUGUUAAAGAAAGAGGGGAAUAUAAUGUAUAUGCUGUAUGAUGAUAAAGGUAAGAUUCGGUUACCUAACCCGAACCUUGGCCUCUAUGCUGUGCAAAACUUUUUGAUUGAGAUUGCAGCAACACCAGUGAACCAGAGAACUCCACAGCGAGUGGCAUCUGAAAGGAUAACCACUCACCGAGAACGCACUUGGUAUGGAGCUGACCCUGGACCAGAAGAAGCAGCACACCUGCAUUAUUGCGAUUACAACCCUCGAGUCCUUCGAGACCCAUGGGCUCGUCAUGCGCAACCACAAGAGCCGACAGAGGAGACAUGGCCGGAGAGCCAAGAUCACCAGUGGACAAACCCGCCUUUUCAUACGGGCAGGUACUCCACUGAUCCAUAUGGAGCUUCAGGAUCCAGACCUCCACCCCAAUUUGAUGCAGGACGAUACUCCGACGCCUCCUACGCCUUCGCGAAUGACUACUAUCAAGAGGCCGGUGCUUUCUUCACUCGCACCGACAACACCCUCCUCGACAUCCAGAACACGCAAGCAGAACAUGGAAGACUCCUGGAAGAGCAACAAAAAUGGAACCAGGACCAUGCUGCUGCAGUGCAAGAACUAAGACAAGAUACAACAACAAUGAACGACAACAUCACAACUAUGAUGCGGUUCUGGAACAUUGGGUAAGACCGACGUCAACGUCCAGCUUGGGGGAGUUCCUCCCAAAUUUAUCAAGUAAGUUUUUUAUUCUAUUCUUAGUAUUUAAUUUAUCUUAAAAGGAAAAGCUUAGAAAACCAAAUAAAUAUUUUCUUGCUUUAAUUUACUGCACUUUAUAAACAUGAAAACAAAAUAAAAAGAGUGUGUAGAUAAGUGUGUUUUAUUUUUCUGCUAAGUUUAAUCUCUAGAAAAAAAUAAAAAGACCAAAAAUAUACAUGAUGGAAAUGAUGAAUAGUUGCUCUGUUUGCUCACUUACAAGUACCUAGCUUUUAUAUUAGAAUUCUUCCAGGAAUUACUAAAACUAAAAUUACUAUCUUUGGGAAGCAUAACACCAAAGUCUAGGUAAGAGAAAGGCAUGAUAUAAAGUUGAGCCGUUGUUUAUCUUGUUCCUACUACACCAAGUUCUAGAGAUUUAUUUUUGAAAACUUACAAAUCACAUGAUGAGUUCCUAGCAUAACAAAAUUACCUACCACAGCCAUAUUUGCUAUAACAUCUUUUACUAUAUUUACAUUGAGUUUGAUCGAGCUGUGUCGACCCUUAGGAGCUUUUCAUGUGGUUAAAUUAAGAUAUUCACUUGCACACAUCUACCACAGCAUUCAUCAUCAAUCAUUAAAAUUGCUAAAAAAAUAUUAUCACUCACUGUCCCGAAUGUUGUUAUUCUCUCUCUAAAAAGAUUCAAUGCAGAAGAGGCAUGGGUUAUGCAAAAAUAUACGAGGAAAUAAAAAGGGGCAAGUGCCCGGAACCUCGAAAAAGAAAAGAAAGUGAGACGAGAGGUAAAAAUGGACAAGUGUCCGAAGUAGAAUUAGGGGUACAAAGAUGCCCACUUGAGCGGAAAAAAUGGAC
This 8078-nucleotide long non-coding RNA is filed under the name Sorghum bicolor (sorghum). Its description in RNAcentral is "long non-coding RNA (SBIC_LNC007096)". Lineage: Eukaryota; Viridiplantae; Streptophyta; Magnoliopsida; Poales; Poaceae. The record is from RNAcentral.